GAAGGGAUAUCUCAGUGGUAGAGCAUUCGACUGCAGAUCGAGUGUUUCCCGGUUCAAACCCGGGAGUCUUCUCA
Molecule: transfer RNA, 74 nt
Filed under: Trichonephila inaurata madagascariensis
Lineage: Eukaryota; Metazoa; Arthropoda; Arachnida; Araneae; Nephilidae
Description: tRNA-Cys
Rfam family: tRNA
About the family: Transfer RNA (tRNA) molecules are approximately 80 nucleotides in length. Their secondary structure includes four short double-helical elements and three loops (D, anti-codon, and T loops). Further hydrogen bonds mediate the characteristic L-shaped molecular structure. tRNAs have two regions of fundamental functional importance: the anti-codon, which is responsible for specific mRNA codon recognition, and the 3' end, to which the tRNAs corresponding amino acid is attached (by aminoacyl-tRNA synthetases). tRNAs cope with the degeneracy of the genetic code in two manners: having more than one tRNA (with a specific anti-codon) for a particular amino acid; and 'wobble' base-pairing, i.e. permitting non-standard base-pairing at the 3rd anti-codon position.
Source: RNAcentral